AUGACCAUUGCGUCGAGCGGUUACUGCUACACUUACCAAGCCAGCGAUAUUGAGAAGCACAUUGAGAGAUUUUCCCAGAAAUCACAUGCCGUGAAGGGUUCCGAUGCGAAGUUGCUGAAAGGGACCGUAAACAUAACGCAUGCCUUUUUUCUUGCUUUUCAGAAGACAAGGAACAUGACACAGUAUUUUUCUGGAUUUCCAGAAGACAAGGACCAGGACCACAGCAAACAUCCUGAGUUGGAAGACAAAAGUACUGAUGCAACCAUGGAAGGGGUGGAAGGGAAAAUAUUUGACGAUUGUUUUUUCUCCCAACCUGGCAAGGUAUUUUACUACCUAUAUUAA
Molecule: ribosomal RNA, 342 nt
Filed under: Triticum aestivum (bread wheat)
Lineage: Eukaryota; Viridiplantae; Streptophyta; Magnoliopsida; Poales; Poaceae
Description: partial small subunit ribosomal RNA
Source: RNAcentral